RNAcentral lists this ribosomal RNA (253 nucleotides) under uncultured bacterium. RNAcentral's name for it is "partial 16S ribosomal RNA". It matches the Rfam family "Bacterial small subunit ribosomal RNA", at positions 524 to 776 of the family's 1533-position model. The record is from RNAcentral.
UACGUAGGUGGCAAGCGUUGUCCGGAUUUACUGGGCGUAAAGAGCGCGCAGGCGGUCGUUCAAGUCGCGUGUGAAAGCCCCCGGCUCAACUGGGGAGGGUCACGCGAUACUGAUCGACUCGAAGGCAGGAGAGGGUAGUGGAAUUCCCGGUGUAGUGGUGAAAUGCGUAGAUAUCUGGAGGAACACCGGUGGCGAAGGCGGCAUCCUGGACCGGUAUUGACGCUGAGGCGCGAAAGCUAGGGGAGCAAACGGG